CUAAAAUGGCGACUGUAACUAAAAAAAGGGAAGUUGGCAGCGAGGGUUGGCGUUUUCAUGACAAGUGGAAAUUGGAGUAUUUUUUCAGGUAAAUACGAAACAACUGUGUCUGCCUAAUUUGCCAAUAGACUGUGGCUGUUUUCGGGAUUUUGCAGCUAUUGAAAAGGAGAUCACGCUUUUUUCCUCUUCUUUCUCCGUGGACUCUGAUGACGCUCCAGAACACCUGCAGCUGCAGCUGGAGCUCAUUGAGCUGCAGUGUGACGCCGAGUGUCACAGUCGGCACCAACAGCUCCCUCUUGUCAACUUUUACGACCAGCUGGAUAAAGGCAGGUUCCAAGAGAUUCGAACCUUUUGCUAAGAAAAUGCUGAGCUUAUUUGGCUCAACAUACUUGUGCGAGAAGACAUCCUCGGUUAUGAACACUAACAAGAACCGCGUGAGGACGAGACUAAGUGACUCUCACCUGCGUGACAUCUUGCGCAUCAAAACCACAGUUUUUGAGCCAGACCUGGCCAUCUCAGUAUCACCCUUCACAUUAGUGCAGGGAAGUUAUUUGUUUAGUCUUCUGAGGCGAGGGGGUGGUACAGGUCAACUGGGGAAGUUCAUCGAUGAAUUUGACACGCUACUGUCCACCAUCCCAGAUGAUGGAACUCCUCUUCUGGUCCUUGGUGAUUUCAACAUUCAUCUAGACAAGCCACAUGCAGGUGACUUUCUUGCUCUCCUUCCCGCAUUCGACCUCAAGCAGUUCAUCACACCAGCAAUCCACAAAGCCGG
Molecule: long non-coding RNA, 772 nt
Organism: Ictalurus punctatus (channel catfish)
Lineage: Eukaryota; Metazoa; Chordata; Actinopteri; Siluriformes; Ictaluridae
Source: Ensembl